Molecule: long non-coding RNA, 1232 nt
Organism: Homo sapiens (human)
Lineage: Eukaryota; Metazoa; Chordata; Mammalia; Primates; Hominidae
Gene: FAM138B
Product: family with sequence similarity 138 member B
Source: Ensembl
CACACAACGGGGUUUCGGGGCUGUGGACCCUGUGCCAGGAAAGGAAGGGCGCAGCUCCUGCAAUGCGGAGCAGCCAGGGCAGUGGGCACCAGGCUUUAGCCUCCCUUUCUCACCCUACAGAGGGCAGGCCCUUCAGCUCCAUUCUCCUCCAAGGCUGCAGAGGGGGCAGGAAUUGGGGGUGACAGGAGAGCUGUAAGGUCUCCAGUGGGUCAUUCUGGGCCCAGAGAUGGGUGCUGAAGCUCCCACGCCUGCCUGUGAAAAUGGAGUCCUCUCUCACCUGGGAGAGCCAGGUGCUGCCCCGAGAAGGAUGCAUUUAUGGCUUCAUGAAGUCUUUCCUGACCCCCGAUGCUGCUGACUAUAGAGACAAAGUCUCACUAUGUUGCUCAGGCUGGUCUUGAACUCCUGGCCUCAAGCGAUCCUCCCACCUUAGCCUCCCAAAGAGUUGGGAUUAUAGACAUGAGCCACUGCACCUGGCCGACCUUGGGCAAGUUCUUAAACCCUUCAAAGCCUCAUUUUUCUCCAAUCAUAAAAGGGAAAGAUGGUAAUAUUUUCCCCUCCAAAUUCUUGUAAGUAUUAAACAUUGUAUAUGUAUUUUGAACACGAUUAAGCUCUAAACACUUGUUAGGAAGCAGGAGUAGCAUUUGAAACAAACAGCUCUUUUCCCACAGGUCGGAUGCCCUCACAGAAUUGAGAUUAUGUACGUAAAACACCAGGUGCCUAACCCGGCACAGAGCAGGAGGGCUAAGCGUGACAUCCAGCACGUGGUCAGUGGAAUCCAGUAUUCCUACCCACCUCUCUAGUCUCCCCUCCACCCCUCUCCCUUUCAGAGGCACCAAGCUGCUUGUGGUCUUGUCUAUUCCCACUCCCUGCCUGACUGAACAUUUUCUCCACCUCCUGAUCAUCAGCAGCAGAAACUGGCUGCUCUUCCUCCUGGGUAGACAGCCAGACUGUAUUUCCCAGCUGCCCCUGCAGUGAGAUGUGGCCAUCGGAGCCAGCAUUGGCCAAUGGACUCUGCAUGGGAGUGACGCAUGCUGCCUCCAGGCUUGUCCCUAAAACCUCCCACGUGUCCUCCGCCUGCUCUUCCCACUUCCAAGGAGCACGGCAAUUGUGGAAGACCCAGAUUAGUGAUGGCAGAACCAUAGAUGGGAGGAACCUGGGUCCCUGACUUAAAGUAUCAUGGAUUUGGAUGUUCCCUUAGUGAGAAAUAAACUUCCAUUGUGUUUAAGCCUUUA